Cyprinus carpio carpio is the source of this 845-nucleotide long non-coding RNA. Lineage: Eukaryota; Metazoa; Chordata; Actinopteri; Cypriniformes; Cyprinidae. The record is from Ensembl.
GAGCCACUGCAGAGGAUGGCAGCUACAGUGGGCUUUCCGGAGUUGAGUCAGGUUCCCGUUGACUCUCCAGAGUUGAGUCAGGUUCCGGGUGACCUUCAAGAGUUGAGUCAGAUUCCCGUUGACCCUCCAGAGUUGAGUCAGGUUCCCAUUGACCCUCCAGAGUUGAGUCAGGUUCCCGUUGACCCUCCAGAGUCAAUUCAUGUUCCCGUUGAUCCUCCUGAAUCAAGUCAGAUUCCUGUUGACCUUCCAGAGUCGAGUCAGGUGCCCGUUGACUUUCCAGAGUUGAGUCAGGUUCCGGUUGACCCUCCAAAGUUGAGUCAGGUGCUCAUGGACCCUCCAGAGUCAGGGUUAGUCACCGUUGACCUUCCAGAGUCAGGGUUAGUCACCAUUGACCUUCCAGAGUCAGGGCUAGUUACCACGGACUUUCCAGAGUCAAGGCUAGUCACCGUUGACCUUUCAGAGUCAAGUCAAGUCACUGGGGAUCUUCAAGGACCGAGUCAAGUCACUGGGGAUCUUCAAGGACCGAGUCAAGUCACUGGUGAUCUUCAAGGACCGAGUCAAGUCACUGGUGAUCUUCAAGGACCGAGUCAAGUCACCGGAGUUCUUCAUGGGAGAAUUCAAGUCACCAGUGAUCUUCAUGAACAAAGGCAAGUCACCACUGAUCUUCAUUAACAAAGCCAAGUCACCACUGAUCUUCAUGAACAAAGCCAAGUCACCAAUGAUCUUCAUGAACAAAUGCAAGUCACCAAUGAUCUUCAUGAGCAGAGUCAAGUCAGCAUCGAUCUUCUGGAAUCCAGUAUAAACACCAUGGGAUUACCAGAGUUUCGUCACUCCUCUGUGGAACU